GCGGAGGAAAAGAAACCAACAGGGAUUGCCCUAGUAACGGCGAGUGAAGCGGCAACAGCUCAAAUUUGAAAUCUGGCUCUCUUUGGGGGUCCGAGUUGUAAUUUGCAGAGGAUGCUUUGGCAUUGGCGGCGGUCUAAGUUCCUUGGAACAGGACAUCGCAGAGGGUGAGAAUCCCGUACGUGGGCGCCUGCCUUUGCCGUGUAAAGCUCCUUCGACGAGUCGAGUUGUUUGGGAAUGCAGCUCUAAAUGGGAGGUAAAUUUCUUCUAAAGCUAAAUACCGGCCAGAGACCGAUAGCGCACAAGUAGAGUGAUCGAAAGAUGAAAAGUACUUUGGAAAGAGAGUCAAAAAGCACGUGAAAUUGUUGAAAGGGAAGCGCUUGCAGCCAGACUUGCCCGCAGUUGCUCACCUAGGCUUUGGCCUGGGGCACUCUUCUGCGGGCAGGCCAGCAUCAGUUUGGGCGGUCGGACAAAGGCCUCUGUCAAGUAUCUCCCUUCGGGGUGACCUUAUAGGGGAGGCGUAAUGCGACCAGCCCGGACUGAGGUCCGCGCAUCUGCUAGGAUGCUGGCGUAAUGGCUGUAAGCGGCCCGUCUUGAAACACGGACCAAGGAGUCUAACAUCUAUGCGAGUGUUUGGGUGUCAAGCCCGGGCGCGCAAUGAAAGUGAACGGAGGUGGGAACCCUUUGGGUGCACCAUCGACCGAUCCUGAUGUCUUCGGAUGGAUUUGAGUAAGAGCAUAGCUGUUGGGACCCGAAAGAUGGUGAACUAUGCUUGAAUAGGGUGAAGCCAGAGGAAACUCUGGUGGAGGCUCGCAGCGGUUCUGACGUGCAAAUCGAUCGUCAAAUUUGGGCAUAGG
RNAcentral lists this small RNA (854 nucleotides) under Paraconiothyrium cyclothyrioides. Its description in RNAcentral is "eukaryotic LSU rRNA". It matches the Rfam family "Eukaryotic large subunit ribosomal RNA", at positions 50 to 921 of the family's 3401-position model. Lineage: Eukaryota; Fungi; Ascomycota; Dothideomycetes; Pleosporales; Didymosphaeriaceae. The record is from RNAcentral.